GAUGAACGCUGGCGGCGUGCCUAAUACAUGCAAGUCGAGCGAACAGACGAGGAGCUUGCUCCUCUGACGUUAGCGGCGGACGGGUGAGUAACACGUGGAUAACCUACCUAUAAGACUGGGAUAACUUCGGGAAACCGGAGCUAAUACCGGAUAAUAUAUUGAACCGCAUGGUUCAAUAGUGAAAGACGGUUUUGCUGUCUCUUAUAGAUGGAUCCGCGCCGCAUUAGCUAGUUGGUAAGGUAACGGCUUACAAAGGCAACGAUGCGUAGCCGACCUGAGAGGGUGAUCGGCCACACUGGAACUGAGACACGGUCCAGACUCCUACGGGAGGCAGCAGUAGGGAAUCUUCCGCAAUGGGCGAAAGCCUGACGGAGCAACGCCGCGUGAGUGAUGAAGGUCUUCGGAUCGUAAAACUCUGUUAUUAGGGAAGAACAAAUGUGUAAGUAACUAUGCACGUCUUGACGGUACCUAAUCAGAAAGCCACGGCUAACUACGUG
This 497-nucleotide ribosomal RNA is filed under the name uncultured bacterium. Its description in RNAcentral is "partial 16S ribosomal RNA". It matches the Rfam family "Bacterial small subunit ribosomal RNA", at positions 28 to 507 of the family's 1533-position model. The record is from RNAcentral.